CCUACGGGAGGCAGCAGUGGGGAAUAUUGGACAAUGGGCGAAAGCCUGAUCCAGCCAUGCCGCGUGAGUGAUGAAGGCCCUAGGGUUGUAAAGCUCUUUUGUGCGGGAAGAUAAUGACGGUACCGCAAGAAUAAGCCCCGGCUAACUUCGUGCCAGCAGCCGCGGUAAU
This 169-nucleotide ribosomal RNA is filed under the name Rhodopseudomonas palustris. Its description in RNAcentral is "partial 16S rRNA". It matches the Rfam family "Bacterial small subunit ribosomal RNA", at positions 338 to 524 of the family's 1533-position model. RNAcentral also lists the same sequence under 1 other name. The record is from RNAcentral. Lineage: Bacteria; Pseudomonadati; Pseudomonadota; Alphaproteobacteria; Hyphomicrobiales; Nitrobacteraceae.